CCACUCUUAGAGGAGCCACAUCUGCUCUGCCGUGGGGGUCCCCUGGGUACAGACAUGGCUAAUGGACCAGGGCCUCUGUCGUCAGGAGAGAGCCAAGCAGGCAGGUGGCAGAUCUGGCACCAGCAUGCCUGCCACCCAGUCAGGCCGGUUGUCCCUCUUUCGUAAGUCUCCAAGGAUUGUGCCACACCUGACCUCAUUUCACUCGCUUACACUUUUUCCUCACAACCCUGUUUGAUGUCUUUCUCCCCAGCUCUGUUUCGUGAUGUUCUGGACACCCAACGUGUCUGAGAAAAUCUUGAUAGACAUCAUUGGAGUGGACUUUGCCUUUGCAGAACUCUGUGUUGUUCCUUUGCGGAUCUUCUCCUUUUUCCCAGUUCCAGUCACAGUGAGGGCACAUCUCACCGGGUGGCUGAUGACGCUGAAGAAAACCUUUGUCCUGGCCCCCAGCUCUGUGCUGCGGAUCAUCGUCCUCAUCGCCAGCCUCGUGGUCCUGCCCUAUCUGGGGGUGCAUGGUGCAACCCUGGGCGUGGGCUCCCUCCUGGCAGGCUUUGUGGGAGAAUCCACCAUGGUCGCCAUUGCCGCGUGCUAUGUCUACCGGAAGCAGAAAAAGAAGAUGGAGAACGAGUCGGCCACGGAGGGGGAAGACUCUGCCAUGACAGACAUGCCUCCGACAGACGAGGUGACAGACAUCGUGGAAAUGAGAGAGGAGAAUGAAUAAGGCACGGGACGCCAUGGGCACUGCAGGGACAGUCAGGAUGACACUUCGGCAUCAUCUCUUCCCUCUCCCAUCGUAUUUUGUUCCCUUUUUUUUCUGUUUUGG
RNAcentral lists this small RNA (820 nucleotides) under Pongo abelii (Sumatran orangutan). RNAcentral describes it as "retained intron". The record is from RNAcentral. Lineage: Eukaryota; Metazoa; Chordata; Mammalia; Primates; Hominidae.